This 546-nucleotide ribosomal RNA is filed under the name uncultured bacterium. Its description in RNAcentral is "bacterial SSU rRNA". It matches the Rfam family "Bacterial small subunit ribosomal RNA", at positions 355 to 896 of the family's 1533-position model. The record is from RNAcentral.
UGGGGAAUCUUGGACAAUGGGCGCAAGCCUGAUCCAGCAAUGCCGCGUGGGUGAAGAAGGCCUGCGGGUUGUAAAGCCCUUUCGGUGGGGAGGAACGGUCUGGUGCUAAUAUCGCUGGGCGUUGCCGUUACCCACAGAAGAAGCACCGGCCAACUCCGUGCCAGCAGCCGCGGUAAUACGGAGGGUGCGAGCGUUAAUCGGAAUUACUGGGCGUAAAGGGCGCGUAGGUGGUGCGUUGAGUCAGCUGUGAAAGCCCUGGGCUUAACCUGGGAAUGGCAGUUGAGACUGGCGUGCUGGAGUGUAACAGAGGACGGCGGAAUUCCCGGUGUAGCGGUGAAAUGCGUAGAGAUCGGGAGGAACACCGAUGGCGAAGGCAGCCGUCUGGGUUGACACUGACGCUGAGGCGCGAAGGCGUGGGGAGCAAACAGGAUUAGAUACCCUGGUAGUCCACGCUGUAAACGAUGAAUACUAGGUGUCGGGUCGAAAGGUUCGGUACCGAAGCUAACGCAUUAAGUAUUCCACCUGGGGAGUACGAUCGCAAGGUUG